UACGUAGGGUGCGAGCGUUGUCCGGAAUCAUUGGGCGUAAAGCGCGUGUAGGCGGCUCGGUAAGUCCGCUCUGAAAGUCCAGGGCUCAACCCUGGGAUGCGGGUGGAUACCGCCGGGCUCGAGUCCGGAAGAGGCGAGUGGAAUUCCCGGUGUAGCGGUGAAAUGCGCAGAUAUCGGGAGGAACACCAAUGGCGAAGGCAGCUCGCUGGGACGUGACUGACGCUGAGACGCGAAAGCGUGGGGAGCAAACAGG
RNAcentral lists this ribosomal RNA (253 nucleotides) under uncultured bacterium. RNAcentral's name for it is "partial 16S ribosomal RNA". It matches the Rfam family "Bacterial small subunit ribosomal RNA", at positions 524 to 776 of the family's 1533-position model. The record is from RNAcentral.